CUCAUAGGGCUCCUCCCCCUACCUCGGCCAUUUUGUGGACAGACGGUGGAGAGUCGCAGAAGUGUUCACAUUACUUCAGCCUUCACGACCAUAACCAGAUAACCUCUCACUCACACGCAUGAACCCUUGCAAGUAAUUGAACUGUGAAGAAUUAGCAGCAAUGAAUCUAAAAUAGUAUUAGUACAACCAUCACAACAGUCACCACUGCUAAAUACUACUACUACUACAACAGUGAAGUGGUGUCCAUUAGAGGUGGUGAGGCCAGAUGUUGAGAGAGGUCACUUUUCUCCUUAAGAUGUCUAGGACUUAGUGAUGGAGAGUCCGAGAGGAAGGUCACUUAGUAAGGAGUGCAAUGAAGAGCUCCAGCUUUCCUUGAAUUUCUUCUCUCCUCACUUACUUUACCAGAAUCAUCACAUUUAUAUUGUAAUGAUGUAAUAAAGAAAAAUUGUACUGUAAUUAAUACCGGUGAUUUUUAAUGUGCCACUGCUUUUAAUCUAACGGUGAUAACAAUAAUAAUAAUCAUAAUUAACAAUAAUAAAUAAAACUCCUUUCUCUCUCUGCCAAUAUUAUUAGAGAGAGAGAGAGAGAGAGAGAGAGAGAGAGAUGCAUUGGUGUAAUGGUAAUAAUGGGUAGUAUUGUAAUUACUGGUGGAUGUAAUUGAUAUAAUGUUUAGUAGUCUAAUGGUGUUAUUAAUAGAUGGGUUAAGUUAAUUUACUUGUGUUUUAAACUUUAAUUAUCUACUUGUAAAUUUAGUAAGAAAAUUGAUUGCAAUUAAUAAUGGCUAAUGGUAUUCUAUUCAAUGAGUUGGGUUUCAUUACUGUUAUGUCAUUUAAAUGUAUUUUUACACACACACACACACACACACAUUUCUGCCUCAUCCUGUGUUUAUUACAAAUCACAAACACAAUUUCUUCCUUUGUCUUCUCAAGUUACUAAAAUUACCCUUUAACUCAACAAAACACACAAUUUAUGCUUCCUUCUAAAUCACAAAAGCACAAUUUUUCCCUCACCCCAAAACAAAAUCUCUCUACUCAUCUCAUCAUUAAUGUAGUUUGAGUGUUAAUAAAACAAUAAUAACAUUUAGUAAAUAUUUAUUGGAAAUAGUAUUGAUUGAUUGAUCUGUAAAAUAAGAUGUUAGUGCUGGUUUUAAUAAUACUGAGAACUUGAGAACAAUAACAAAAUCAAUAAAAAAUAAUAAUAAUAAUAAA
Molecule: long non-coding RNA, 1208 nt
Organism: Scylla paramamosain (green mud crab)
Lineage: Eukaryota; Metazoa; Arthropoda; Malacostraca; Decapoda; Portunidae
Exons: 4
Source: RefSeq, a predicted model, not a curated record